GGGGUUGUAGCUCAGUGGUUGAGCGCUUGCCUCGCAUGCAAGAGGCACUGGAUUUGAUUCUCAGCACCA
Molecule: transfer RNA, 69 nt
Filed under: Ictidomys tridecemlineatus (thirteen-lined ground squirrel)
Lineage: Eukaryota; Metazoa; Chordata; Mammalia; Rodentia; Sciuridae
Description: Spermophilus tridecemlineatus (thirteen-lined ground squirrel) tRNA
Rfam family: tRNA
About the family: Transfer RNA (tRNA) molecules are approximately 80 nucleotides in length. Their secondary structure includes four short double-helical elements and three loops (D, anti-codon, and T loops). Further hydrogen bonds mediate the characteristic L-shaped molecular structure. tRNAs have two regions of fundamental functional importance: the anti-codon, which is responsible for specific mRNA codon recognition, and the 3' end, to which the tRNAs corresponding amino acid is attached (by aminoacyl-tRNA synthetases). tRNAs cope with the degeneracy of the genetic code in two manners: having more than one tRNA (with a specific anti-codon) for a particular amino acid; and 'wobble' base-pairing, i.e. permitting non-standard base-pairing at the 3rd anti-codon position.
Source: Rfam by way of RNAcentral